RNAcentral lists this ribosomal RNA (305 nucleotides) under uncultured bacterium. RNAcentral describes it as "bacterial SSU rRNA". It matches the Rfam family "Bacterial small subunit ribosomal RNA", at positions 333 to 654 of the family's 1533-position model. The record is from RNAcentral.
CGUCCCCUACGGGACGCAGCAGUGGGGAAUAUUGCACAAUGGGGGGAACCCUGAUGCAGCGACGCCGCGUGAGUGAAGAAGUACUUCGGUAUGUAAAGCUCUGUCAGCAGGGAAGAAGAAAGACGGUACCUGACCAAGAAGCCCCGGCUAACUACGUGCCAGCAGCCGCGGUAAUACGUAGGGGGCAAGCGUUAUCCGGAUUUACUGGGUGUAAAGGGAGCGUAGACGGCAUAGCAAGUCUGAUGUGAAAGAUCGGGGCUCAACCCCGGGCCUGCAUUGGAAACUGUUAAGCUGGAGUACAGGAG